RNAcentral lists this non-coding RNA (47 nucleotides) under Phenylobacterium sp. Root1277. Its description in RNAcentral is "Guanidine-II riboswitch aptamer (mini-ykkC)". It matches the Rfam family "Guanidine-II riboswitch aptamer (mini-ykkC)". From Rfam's summary of the family: Simpler in structure and has fewer highly conserved nucleotide positions than the ykkC-yxkD leader. Despite this each of its two stem-loop structures directly bind free guanidine. The record is from Rfam by way of RNAcentral. Lineage: Bacteria; Pseudomonadati; Pseudomonadota; Alphaproteobacteria; Caulobacterales; Caulobacteraceae. RNAcentral also lists the same sequence under 1 other name.
CGCGGGGGAUGACCUCCGCGCCUUUGCUUUUUCCGGGGACGACCCCC